CGCGGCCGAGUAAGGGACGGGGCCUCGAUCGCGUUGGCGGGCAUGGAAAGGGUGACGCCCCUGAGCACGGCGGCGGGCGCCGAAGGGUCGAUGGCCUCGAUUGCAACUGCGGGGAAGCUAUCUCCGGCUCUAGAUCAGGAAUUCAGUAGGCCGAUGCAGGCGGGGGCAUGACGGAGUCGGAUGUUGACAAGACUCAAGGCUGGUCGGAUGGAGGAGCUGGUGCUCAAGAGGUGGUUGGAGCUCGAGAACAUGCAGGGGCAUGCAUGUUGAGCACAGUGCCUGAGAAAUCCAUUGCGUGGAUUAGUGUUUGGACACGUUGGUGUUGGCAACAGUAGUGAUGAUCGUGGUUCCCAGGACAGGUUCAUUUUUUCAGACAAACAGAAAAUUUCCCAAGCUGCUUGCGGAUGGAGACAUACACUUACCCUUUCUGAAAAGGGAAGAUAUUUUCUUCUAGGAAGGGGUAGUACUAGGAUGCUGGGCAGUGGUGAAAUAUUUUACAGGAAUAUGCCUGGGCUGUUGCCUUCAGCCAGAUGGUUCUGGCUGCAAGAAGUUAAACUCAUCCAUGUCAACUCCAUUCGCAGAUUAGGAUAUCACAAGGCCAGUGAGGGCAGAGUGGAGCAUGGCAGAGGUGGCGGGGUCGGUACAGGUGUGGUUGAAUCAGAAACACUCACACAUGUGCGGGUGAAUUUGAAAUGACAGGAUAUGCUGCCCAUACCCAGGUCGAGCAAGAAUUGAGAUCAAUAUUUUAUGAAAGAGAAAGAAGGGACAAAGUUAUAUAUAACAACUUGGAUAUACAUUUUUUGUUAGCUUGAAUGCUUUUCCAAGUAAUUUUUGUAUGUAAGUAUAUAUAUUUUUCCCGUUGAAACUAGCUUUUCCCGUGAAAUUCCCCAACCAAUUUUACUCCCCCUCA
Long non-coding RNA from Setaria italica (foxtail millet), 910 nucleotides. RefSeq lists it as uncharacterized. NCBI's taxonomy places the organism in Eukaryota, Viridiplantae, Streptophyta, Magnoliopsida, Poales, Poaceae. The transcript is spliced from 7 exons. The record is from RefSeq and is a predicted model, not a curated record.